Molecule: ribosomal RNA, 223 nt
Filed under: uncultured bacterium
Lineage: Bacteria
Description: partial 16S ribosomal RNA
Rfam family: Bacterial small subunit ribosomal RNA
Source: RNAcentral
CGGACGUAAAGAACUUGCCUCACAGCUAGGGACAACAUUUAGAAAUGAAUGCUAAUACCUGAUAUUAUGAUUUUAAGGCAUCUUAGAAUUAUGAAAGCUAUAAGCACUGUGAGAGAGCUUUGCGUCCCAUUAGCUAGUUGGAGAGGUAACAGCUCACCAAGGCGAUGAUGGGUAGCCGGCCUGAGAGGGUGAACGGCCACAAGGGAACUGAGACACGGCCCUU